Molecule: ribosomal RNA, 408 nt
Filed under: uncultured bacterium
Lineage: Bacteria
Description: partial 16S ribosomal RNA
Rfam family: Bacterial small subunit ribosomal RNA
Source: RNAcentral
GACGAACGCUGGCGGCGUGCUUAACACAUGCAAGUCGAACGAAGUGGCGAACGGGUGAGUAACGUGUGAUAAACCUGCCCUUCAGAGGGGGACAACAGUUGGAAACGACUGCUAAUACCGCAUACUGCAGGAGGGGAUUGUGUGUGGUUAGCUAGUUGGAGGGGUAACGGCCCACCAAGGCGAGGAUCAGUAGCCGGGCUGAGAGGAUGAACGGCCAAAUUGGGACUGAGACACGGCCCAGACUCCUACGGGAGGCAGCAGGGGGGAAACUUCCGCAAUGGACGAAAGUCUGACGGAGCAACGCCGCCUGAGUGAUGACGGCCUUCGGGUUGUAAAGCUCUGUUAAUCGGGACGCGGUACCGGAAUAGAAAGCCACGGCUAACUACGUGCCAGCAGCCGCGGUAAUUC